CCUAGAUUUACAGAACUGAGCCUCCUAACGUGGUGCUGGGGAUUUCAUUAGCGGGUUAAAGAAAAGAAGUGGACCCGUUAGUAUUUUGAAUAUAAAUAUGUAGUUAUCAGAUCUGCUUUGCCCCAUCCGUAAUUUUCCGAUCGGGACAGAAACUCAGCGGUCGCCCUCUAUUUAUGGUGGAGCACGACUGCACGAACCCUCCAAAAUCUCCCCAUGGGUAAAGGUAAUUAUUAAUUUAACGAGGAAAAAUUAAUCUCUGAUUCAUUCUUGUUGAUAUGAACAUAUAGUAGGUGACAGGGACGACGUCGAUUUUGUGAUAUCUGCCGAUUAAAUCAGUGGAAGGGCAAAAACCUUCUUUCGUUUCAUCACCAGGCGGCACUCGCUUUCUUCGGCGAUGACUAUAGGCUGCUGAGAUGGAUACAAGGUCGGCGUCUCUUCUCCGGCGGCGGCAACUGGUCACCAGCACCAGACAAUCAGGUGAAUCCGAUUUCUUACUGCAGUAAUCGAUUUAUUUAUUCCAAUCUAAACUCCUUGCACCUUGCAGAUUCAUAUUUAAUAUCUUUGCAUAUUGCAGAUCCGAAUAGAAGACUUAUCAUUGCAGAUUGCAGAUCCUGUUGAUUCCAUUGAUCUUGUUGCUAUCACAUUCCUACUUAAAUCAAAUCAUCUGACAUCUUCUCGCUCUCUCAUUGUAUCUGGCGGCGGCGACAUCUUUGCUUCUCUGCACUUGUCGUCGACAGUCACUUGAAAUUAAAAAAAGUAUUUCUAGAUAUGUUCCAGAGAAGUGUAUGUUUAGAUACUUUUUCAAAGAAGUGUAUGUUUAGAUACUUUUUGAAAGAAGAGUAUGCUCAGACAUCACACAGAAGAGUAUCAUCGACACUCUUUUUAUAAAUUAUAAGGUUUCAUUCGAUACUUCCUUGAAUAUGGUUGUAUCACUGGGUACAUUUUUAGACUAUAGUAGUGGCAAUACAUUGUUCUACAUUAUUUUUAAUAAAGUUUGUUCUAUAUUUUUCCGGUACAAUUA
Molecule: long non-coding RNA, 1021 nt
Filed under: Sorghum bicolor (sorghum)
Lineage: Eukaryota; Viridiplantae; Streptophyta; Magnoliopsida; Poales; Poaceae
Description: long non-coding RNA (SBIC_LNC016928)
Source: RNAcentral